GGCUGCAAUGAGAAUCACCACCUCCAAAUCUGAGGCCAUGGUUCUCUGCUGGAAAACGGUGGUAUGCUCCCUCUGUGUUGGGGGAGAGAGACUGCCUUAAGCAAGGUUCAAGAAGCAAGUAUCUCGGGAUCUUAUCCACAAGUGAUGGGAAGACAGAGUGCAAGUUGGACCAGCAGUGUGGCAUUAGCAGUACUGGACUGCCUAAUGAACAAAGAGCUUUUGAUUUACCAAUCUAUCAAUAUCCCAACCUUCACCUAGGAUCAGGUAAUCUGGAUAUUGACCAAAAAAGUGAGGUCAUGAAUACAAACAGAAGAAAUUAGUUUCUUCCAUAUGGUGGCUGGGCUCAGACUUAAAAGACAAGUUAAGAAGCUCAGACGUCCAAAGGAAUUCCUGGAGUAGAUCCCCUGCUCCUGCAUGUCAAAAGGACCCAGUUAAGGUGGUUGGGAUGUGUAACAGAAGGUUUACAAGUACAUCCAACUGGGAAGAAACCCCAGGGUAGACCUAUUUAUUUGACAAUUUUAAAACAUCUCUAUGCGAUACAAGGAACUUAAAAAAGAAAGAAAGAAAAACUUCCAAGAAUUGCGAGCACAACUUUAGAGAUCAUAAUUAAAACAUUGUUUCAUUCCUUAGUGUGGUUCUAAUCUGAACUAAAAAAAAAAAAAAAAAAAACCUUUGGGAUGAACUGCAUUUUUUCCUUUGUCCCAUAACCCAAGUUAACCAAUAUGGUUAACUAUGGAGGGGAAAAAUGAUCAUCAGUGAGUUGGCCUAUCAUAAACUCUUAAGAAAUGGAGAUAUUUCAAAUAUGCAAAGUACCUUAGCCUAAAUUACUGUUUAUUCCUGCGUACCUGACGUUGAUAGCUGUGGAAGAGUGAAUUUGCAAAUGCGCUCUGACGUCCAUCAAACGCCAUUCUGAACUCCCCUUUGGUUCUUCAGUACUCGGUUACAGCUCUGGCAAUGUACAAAGAACGAAACAUUUUUAUAAAGAUUUGCAUAGUAAAUUAAGACAUUUGACAGAUAUGGAAAAUACAUUAGCAAACUACUUUUUCGGGAAAAGGCAACUUUUCAGCUAGCCAACUUAGCAAACUUAACUAGC
Molecule: long non-coding RNA, 1093 nt
Organism: Astatotilapia calliptera (eastern happy)
Lineage: Eukaryota; Metazoa; Chordata; Actinopteri; Cichliformes; Cichlidae
Source: Ensembl